UCUGUGUGUGUGUGUGUGUGUGUGUGUGUGUGUAGAUAGUUAGACAGAGAUAGAUAUAUAUACACACAAACAUAUACA
This 78-nucleotide microRNA precursor is filed under the name Notamacropus eugenii (tammar wallaby). RNAcentral's name for it is "miRNA (ENSMEUG00000017522.1)". Lineage: Eukaryota; Metazoa; Chordata; Mammalia; Diprotodontia; Macropodidae. The record is from RNAcentral.